UUUGUUCGUUCGGCUCGCGUUA
This 22-nucleotide non-coding RNA is filed under the name Owenia fusiformis. The record is from RNAcentral. RNAcentral also lists the same sequence under 49 other names. Lineage: Eukaryota; Metazoa; Annelida; Polychaeta; Sabellida; Oweniidae.